CGGGUAGACAAGUCCAGAUGGCGGAAAUGCUAUGAAAAUGCUACACAUUACUUUGGUAAAACUAAUUCUCAAGUGUGGAUUGAUUAUAUUAAAUUCGAACGUGACCAAGGGGAUCCGAAAAAUAUGGCGCACUUAUACGAAAGAGCUAAAAGCACUUUAGAUAAGCAGCUAGUUGAUAAUUUCAUGACCGAAUUUACUUUACUCAAAGCAAUAAUAUAAACAAUCCCGUUUAUGCAUGCGCACAAUUUUGCUUCUUUGCGGGACACUGCUAUUCUUUCCAACUUAUCGAUACCACAGGAACCGCCUCAUUUCGACCUGCGUUGGCCACUGCUGCAACUACAUCCAUCUCGUUUUCAGCGGGCCUCAGUUGAUGGCCGGAUAACCCAAUUCGUGACAACAUUUCAAAACAUCAGUGAAUACAUUUAUAUAUUUACCAAAUAUAUACGCACCACCUUGUGUUUAUAUUAUACCA
Glossina fuscipes is the source of this 472-nucleotide long non-coding RNA. RefSeq lists it as uncharacterized. NCBI's taxonomy places the organism in Eukaryota, Metazoa, Arthropoda, Insecta, Diptera, Glossinidae. The transcript is spliced from 2 exons. The record is from RefSeq and is a predicted model, not a curated record.